Neolamprologus brichardi is the source of this 456-nucleotide non-coding RNA. Lineage: Eukaryota; Metazoa; Chordata; Actinopteri; Cichliformes; Cichlidae. The record is from RefSeq and is a predicted model, not a curated record.
GGAGGAGUCGAGCAGAGAGAGUUGCUUUUUCAGGAAACGGGAGUAAAGUAGUAAACUUACAGGAACAUAUACCACUACCAACGUUGGGAUUAAUAUCUGCAUCGAUCUGCCCACCCUUGUCUCCUGGAUCGUAGCUCAGAUCAGCGUGAACCACGUGGGUCUCUGCUCCCUGAUCUGUUUCCUGUGUUUGGAAAAACUUCCAGCUUCAUCACGAAGUUUUUCUCGGUUUGUGGGCUCGUCUAAAGCUGAGUAACAGCAGAAGAGUCUGGUGGAGCAGCCGAGGAACAAUUUCAGCCAUUUGGACUCAGCUCAGCCACUACAGAGGAAACAAUGACUUCAACACAAAAAGACCAACAUGGAGCAAGAAGUCAGCGCUCUCAGGAGGCCGACAAACCUCACAGAAGAAAGGGAGAGAAAACCUACAGCUGUGAUGAGUGUGGAAAGGAUUUUACCCAG